AGUGAGUAACACGUGAGCAACCUGCCCCUGACUUUGGGAUAAGCGCUGGAAACGGCGUCUAAUACUGGAUACGAGUAGCGGCCGCAUGGUCAGUUACUGGAAAGAUUUUUUGGUUGGGGAUGGGCUCGCGGCCUAUCAGCUUGUUGGUGAGGUAAUGGCUCACCAAGGCGUCGACGGGUAGCCGGCCUGAGAGGGUGACCGGCCACACUGGGACUGAGACACGGCCCAGACUCCUACGGGAGGCAGCAGUGGGGAAUAUUGCACAAUGGGCGGAAGCCUGAUGCAGCAACGCCGCGUGAGGGAUGACGGCCUUCGGGUUGUAAACCUCUUUUAGCAGGGAAGAAGCGAAAGUGACGGUACCUGCAGAAAAAGCGCCGGCUAACUACGUGCCAGCAGCCGCGGUAAUACGUAGGGCGCAAGCGUUAUCCGGAAUUAUUGGGCGUAAAGAGCUCGUAGGCGGUUUGUCGCGUCUGCUGUGAAAUCCCGAGGCUCAACCUCGGGCCUGCAGUGGGUACGGGCAGACUAGAGUGCGGUAGGGGAGAUUGGAAUUCCUGGUGUAGCGGUGGAAUGCGCAGAUAUCAGGAGGAACACCGAUGGCGAAGGCAGAUCUCUGGGCCGUAACUGACGCUGAGGAGCGAAAGGGUGGGGAGCAAACAGGCUUAGAUACCCUGGUAGUCCACCCCGUAAACGUUGGGAACUAGUUGUGGGGUCCAUUCCACGGAUUCCGUGACGCAGCUAACGCAUUAAGUUUCCCCGCCUGGGGGAGUACGGCCGCAAGGCUAAAACUCAAAAGGAAUUUGACGGGGACCCGCACAAGCGGCGGAGCAUGCGGAUUAAUUCGAUGCAACGCGAAGAACCUUACCAAGGCUUGACAUAUACGAGAACGGGCCAGAAAUGGUCAACUCUUUGGACACUCGUAAACAGGUGGUGCAUGGUUGUCGUCAGCUCGUGUCGUGAGAUGUUGGGUUAAGUCCCGCAACGAGCGCAACCCUCGUUCUAUGUUGCCAGCACGUAAUGGUGGGAACUCAUGGGAUACUGCCGGGGUCAACUCGGAGGAAGGUGGGGAUGACGUCAAAUCAUCAUGCCCCUUAUGUCUUGGGCUUCACGCAUGCUACAAUGGCCGGUACAAAGGGCUGCAAUACCGCGAGGUGGAGCGAAUCCCAAAAAGCCGGUCCCAGUUCGGAUUGAGGUCUGCAACUCGACCUCAUGAAGUCGGAGUCGCUAGUAAUCGCAGAUCAGCAACGCUGCGGUGAAUACGUUCCCGGGUCUUGUACACACCGCCCGUCAAGUCAUGAAAGUCGGUAACACCUGAAGCCGGUGGCCUAUCCCUUGUGGAGGGAGCCGUCGAAGGUGGGAUCGGUAAUAGGACU
This 1370-nucleotide ribosomal RNA is filed under the name Microbacterium foliorum. RNAcentral describes it as "bacterial SSU rRNA". It matches the Rfam family "Bacterial small subunit ribosomal RNA", at positions 105 to 1482 of the family's 1533-position model. The record is from RNAcentral. Lineage: Bacteria; Bacillati; Actinomycetota; Actinomycetes; Micrococcales; Microbacteriaceae.